Molecule: ribosomal RNA, 255 nt
Filed under: uncultured bacterium
Lineage: Bacteria
Description: partial 16S ribosomal RNA
Rfam family: Bacterial small subunit ribosomal RNA
Source: RNAcentral
UACGUAGGGUGCAAGCGUUUAAUCGGAAUUACUGGGCGUAAAGCGUGCGCAGGCGGUUUUGUAAGUCUGUCGUGAAAGCCCCGGGCUCAACCUGGGAAUUGCGAUGGAGACUGCAAGGCUUGAAUCUGGCAGAGGGGGGUAGAAUUCCACGUGUAGCAGUGAAAUGCGUAGAGAUGUGGAGGAACACCGAUGGCGAAGGCAGCCCCCUGGGUCAAGAUUGACGCUCAUGCACGAAAGGCGUGGGGAGCAAACAGG